Molecule: long non-coding RNA, 531 nt
Organism: Tachysurus fulvidraco (yellow catfish)
Lineage: Eukaryota; Metazoa; Chordata; Actinopteri; Siluriformes; Bagridae
Exons: 2
Source: RefSeq, a predicted model, not a curated record
ACACACUGUAUACACACAUUGUAUUAUACACACACAAUAUACACACACAAUAUACAAACUGUAUUCACACAUUAUAUACACACACAUUAUAUACACACACAAUAUACAGACACUUUGCAUUUGGUUUCAUGGCACCUCCAUCACAGGCCCCCCCUUUCCUCGGAGCCCCUGCCCAGCAGUCAGUGGGGUCAAAGGGUAGGUUGAUUGGCAUCUCUGGAAAUUUGGGGAUUCCCACUCGGCUGAAGAGCUUGAGGAGCUCCCAGGCAACAUUCUGGAAGGUGGCUUUUCGAAGUGGGACCACCUCGGGGUAACGGGUGGCAUAAUCAACCAGGACAAGGAUUUAUUAAUGUACAUUCAUAUACACACAUGCUGUUUUGUGUAGAGAAUUCUCCAUCAGUCUACCAGAGAGUGUAGAAGCUCUGAGAGGACUCUGUGUUCUUAUACCCUGCAGUUUUCAGAUUGAAGAGCGAUAUGAUGCAGACCUCCAGGGAGAUCCUACAGGAAUCUGGUUAAAAGAUGGCAUUAAUGCUG